RNAcentral lists this signal recognition particle RNA (266 nucleotides) under Clostridia bacterium. RNAcentral describes it as "signal recognition particle sRNA large type". It matches the Rfam family "Bacterial large signal recognition particle RNA". Rfam says of the family: The signal recognition particle (SRP) is a universally conserved ribonucleoprotein involved in the co-translational targeting of proteins to membranes. Archaeal SRP consists of a 7S RNA and homologues of the eukaryotic SRP19 and SRP54 proteins. The record is from RNAcentral. Lineage: Bacteria; Bacillati; Bacillota; Clostridia.
CCAUACCAGCCGGGGAGAUAGCGGAGCCCUGUACCUGCAAUCCGCUACAGCAGGGGUGGAUUCCACUCUUGAGAGUCGAUCUUUUCUGAAUUGAGUUUGUUUUCUUGUGUUGAGAAGCGGGUCUUGCGCAAUGCGGAGCCGUGAACCAUGUCAGGUGGGGAACCAAGCAGCAUUAAGCGGUGCACCGUAUGUGCCGCGAGGGUGCCUGCUUUGAGCAAGAAAACAAAAGAUCGCAGGGAAGUGACACCCGAGAGAGCGGUGUAUGG